Molecule: long non-coding RNA, 1114 nt
Filed under: Anas platyrhynchos platyrhynchos (common mallard)
Lineage: Eukaryota; Metazoa; Chordata; Aves; Anseriformes; Anatidae
Description: lncRNA (ENSAPLG00000022363.1)
Source: RNAcentral
ACCACCAGGGUUAGCGUGGCUCAGCUGAACUUGUUUGCAGGCAAUUUGCUGGCAAAGCGUAGCUCUGCUCCAAGCCCUGGGUGCAGGUCUCUUUUGGGAGGUACCUGUGCAGCAAGACCUGGCUCUGCAUUGACACACCUGGACUCAACAGCAUGUUCAGGUAUCAGCAGAGCUCCUUUGUAUUCACGCUUGUCAAUUUUAAAUUCAGAAUAACUGAAAUUAUUGCAUUUUCUACUGUGAGGUUUUCUUUAAUUGAUUAACUGGAGCCACAGUGCCCAUAGCAACUUAAAAAGCCACGAUCACUUACUUUUAAAAUUGUACCUAUUGUUUUCUAUCACUGCACUGGAGUUUACCAUUCUUCCAAAGCCCAAGUAAUGUGGAAAAAAAAUACUACAUGUAUUUAAUGAAAAUGAUUUGGAAUUGGAUAAUGCUCUCACUGAUGUAAAAGUCUAAAAAGUCCCACACUUAAACAACAGCUCUGAGUAAUUUCUAAUAUUCUGAGAAUGCCUUUUAUUUGUAGAAGGUCUGAGAAUUAAUAACUUCUUAGCCCAAAGGAGAAAAAAAAAGUAGGGAGAAAGAGACUCAUAAGAGUGAUAUGAACUGUUGUUUUCAUGAUCUAUUUCUCAACAGAAUAAAAUUGUUCAUCGAGUAGCGAUAUGUUUACCCCAAUCACAGCACUUCUCUCCUGGUGGUAAAGCAGCAAUUUGGGAGUGCAGCGGUGCUUCCUGACAGAAGAUCACUCUGGCAGAGCUUCUGAUCAGUCCCAGGAGGAAUGGCCAUGCAGGAAGAACAACCCACAUCAAGGCUGCCAGACGUGUAAUAAUGGGUUGACUAACAACCAGCUGAGAAGUCUUUCCAUUCAUUUGCUGUUUGUGAAAACCAGGUGGGAGGAAGAGGAGAAAAGGAAAGGAAGGGACAGGUUUGAUCCCAGGUGACAAGUCCAUACAGCAGGUCAGGAUUCAGCCAGGAGCAAGGUCUUCUGUAUUUCUACAACACUACAAAAUCCUGGAAGAAAGGCCUGCCAGUGACAGCUCUGACAUAUGCUCACAGCUGCACGGUGAAUGGCACAUAGGUAAUGGGGGUUUCUCGUAAUCAGCCUGUCAGAUUUAUGUAA